RNAcentral lists this RNase P RNA (414 nucleotides) under Verrucomicrobiales bacterium. RNAcentral describes it as "RNase P RNA component class A". It matches the Rfam family "Bacterial RNase P class A". From Rfam's summary of the family: Ribonuclease P (RNase P) is a ubiquitous endoribonuclease, found in archaea, bacteria and eukarya as well as chloroplasts and mitochondria. Its best characterised activity is the generation of mature 5'-ends of tRNAs by cleaving the 5'-leader elements of precursor-tRNAs. The record is from RNAcentral. Lineage: Bacteria; Pseudomonadati; Verrucomicrobiota; Verrucomicrobiia; Verrucomicrobiales.
GAAGUGCCUGAGACAGUCGCUCACUGAUAAACUCACUGAGAGGAAAGUCCGGACACCUUAAGGCAGUACCGCCGCACGAAAGUGCGGGAAACUGACAGCGAAAGCUCCAGUUUACGGAAAGUGUCACAGAAAAUAUACCGCCUGAACGAGUUUUACUUGAUCAGGUAAGGGUGAAAUGGCGAGUUAAGAGCUCACCGCCCCGAGGGUAACUGAGGGGGCAUGACAAACCCCGUGCGGUGCAAGACAGAACAGGGAAAACGGGUAGCCUGCCCGGCCUCUUCGGAGAUGAUCCUGGGUAAUAGUCGCAGUAUGGUUCGCCCAGCUCCUGUCAUAUGACAGGAAGAUAAAUGGCUGUCACCUGUCUCGCUCCGGUGAGACAGGACACAGAAUCCGGCUUAUGAGGGUACUUCCCAC